AUUAAAAUUUAUUUAAAGAUAUUACGUCAAGAGGAUAGUAUGUCAAUAAGAGUUACUUUAUUACGAUGUUAUCUAUGAAUGAAUAGUCUACGACAAUAGUUUUCCGAUUGUUGCGAAUUUAAUUUUGUAAUAAUCGACAGUGGAUAACAUUAACUGGUAUGAGACGCUACUAUUUUGUUUAAAUUAAAUACUCCAUUUUUUGUAAUGAUGAAUUACGAAUUACGAAUUUGGAAUUUGGUCCAACAGGUCAACGUCCAGGUCAUGUUACAAUUAAGUUUAAUGAUUUAUGCAUGAAAAAUAAAAUUAUGAUACUAAAAACGUAUAUUGGAAGCGUUGUAUUAGCUUUUUGUUAACAAGAUAAGAUAAGCAAAUACUACAUUGAGAUAUCACUGACACGAUUAGAACACUUAUGCUUCAUGAAAGUUUCUUUUAAAAACCAAUGUUAAAUCAUUAAAUUCGUGAAUCACUUUCAGUUUAUUCAUUGCAUGUUUUAAUUUAGAAACGGAUAAUGAAAAUAAAAUAUAUAACAUUGAAAGUCAUUAAAUUGUUUUUUUAAAUUUAAAUCAACUGAAGAUCACGAAAUAUUAAAUUAUUCCAGAGACAUACGGUAAUAAAUAAGUAAGUAAUUUGUUUGUCUAUUAAUUAUGACUUAGAUAUAUUUUUAGGUUAUGUCAUGUAAUACCGACAAGAUAUACAUCCAAGCUAAUAUUAAACAAUUAGUAAAAUUUGCUUAACCAUGUAUAGAAAAAUAAAUUUAUUCCGAUAAUAAUCUAAAAAAAUGUAUCCAAUAAACACAAAUUAAACAACGAAAAGUAGAACUUUAGCUGUAUUUCAAACCAUUUAAAAAUAAUUCCAUUUAUCUUUUAACUAUUGUUAAUAGAAAAAUAUAAAAAAUAAAGUAUUUAUAGAAGUUAAUUUUAAAAGAAAAAAGAAUUGUUAAAGGACAAUUUUUAAAAACGUUAAAAAAGUUUAAGAUUCAUAAUUAAUUGAGCUAUUGUUUGAAGAAAAAUGAUUUUACAUGAAGUACUAAUUUAAUAAUAUUGAUUGUAUUGCAACGUAUUACACACCAGUAAUUAGCAUGAGAUUAACAAUGAAAAAUAUUUAUCUUAUCAAAAGUCAAGAUUUAUGUACUCAGGUAUUAAAAAGAAAAAAAUAACAUGUUAAGUCACAAAACAAAAGAAUAAUUUUUUAAGGAUAUAACACAAUACCUAAGAUUUACCUGUCACAUAGCUGACUACAACUCCAACGAAAACAGUGACGAAUGUGCCAAUCAAGGAAUAGUACAUAUAGGUUACUGAAUACAAAGAAGAUAAGAUGUUUCUGAAAUAAUUGAUUAUAAUAAAAUAUUAGCCAACUAAGUACUAUAAAUUUCAUGGAUGAUAAUAAAAAUAAACAAACUA
Daktulosphaira vitifoliae (grape phylloxera) is the source of this 1400-nucleotide long non-coding RNA. RefSeq lists it as uncharacterized. The transcript is spliced from 5 exons. The record is from RefSeq and is a predicted model, not a curated record. Lineage: Eukaryota; Metazoa; Arthropoda; Insecta; Hemiptera; Phylloxeridae.